Chenopodium quinoa (quinoa) is the source of this 3096-nucleotide long non-coding RNA. RefSeq lists it as uncharacterized. The transcript is spliced from 8 exons. The record is from RefSeq and is a predicted model, not a curated record. NCBI's taxonomy places the organism in Eukaryota, Viridiplantae, Streptophyta, Magnoliopsida, Caryophyllales, Amaranthaceae.
AGGAACAGGGAGGAGUAGAGUGAGAAGUCUGAGAGGAAAGAAGAAGAGAGGAGAGAGAAAGGGAAGAGAAGAAAAGAGGGGCGGAAAUGUGUUAAGAAUAACCGUUUUUUUAGGGUUUUUUAGGUUUUUUUUUUUAUAUUUAAUUACAACGGAUUUUAUAUUCCGUCGGAAAGCCCACAAAUUCCAACGGAUUUGUAUUCCGUAGGAAAUCCGUCGGAAUUUACGAAGAAAAAAUGUCCGUCGGAAAUGGUCCGUCGGAAAUCGGCCUAUCUUUAGUAGUGUUGUAAAUUACCACCCAAAAAUGUACCUGUUUUUGAACUAACCACCUGUUUAAUUUUUUAUUUUAUUUUAUCAUCCCUUAAUUAAAUAAUCACUCAGAUUACCACCCAUUUCAAAAUUCCGAUAGAUUUUCUGUCUGUGGGCCCCACCUAACCACUAUUUUAACCCUUUUCACUGAUCCCCCCGGAUUUUUUCUCCCCCCAUCUUUUCUCUUUUCUGCAACCAUUUUUCAUACCUUUUUCAACCUUCAAUCCUUCCAUUUCAAGCUCACUUCCAAAUCUUCCUCUUCUUCUUCAUCUGCAAUUCCCCACCGGCAGCACCACCCACCAAUUUCCUCGACAGCCACCAUAAUCAACCUCACCGCCCUUAACAUACACCACUAGCCACUGCAAUCUACCCCACCACCCCCAACACACCUCACCGACCACCGCCUUCAACUUCACUGCCCUCCACACACAUCUCACCGCCCUGAACAAACCCUCAUCGACCACCGCCUUCAACCGCAUACCAUCGAACAUUUCGACCGCCAGUCGCAAGGCACAUAAUGAAAUCCUAAAAAAAACUUGCCCCCACCCCUCACCUCCCUGAAAUCUAACGUAUACAGCCCGAAUUCAACUAACAAUAAUCGAUCUUUACAUCCUUUACUUUGGGCUUGCAGAAUUCAACUAACAAUAAUCGAUUUUUGCAAUUUUUGUAAUUGAUUUUCAAAUUGCAGAAAUCAAAGUAGCCGACCCCACUGUUCUUCUUGUUGUUGUAUUUAGGGUUGAAUUUAGGGUAAAUUACUAAAGAAUUGUCCUACAAAUCAAUCAGAAAAUAAAAUUUUGCAAUUAAAUUGGGGAAAUUAGGUUGAUAAUCAAUUGAAUUGGGGCUUUGUAUGCUGAAAUUGACGGGCUGCUGCUAUCUUUAAUUGAAGUGGGCUGGUUGUGAUUUGCGAUUGGUGCUGCCGUGAAGAGCUUCUGUUGGUGGCGAAUGGUGGCGAGUGCGGCUGUGAUUUUUGCUGGGCUGCCGCCAAUUGUUGUCUCUGUUGUGGUGUUUGUGAUUGUGGAGCGGCUGAUAUGUUGGUCAAAUCGGAGCAGCGCAACUGAUUGCGAUGGACUGGUGCUGAUAGGUCUGGGCUUCGUUCUGCUGCUGCUAGAGGAUCUGAUGUUGCUACCUGUUGGUUCCUCCAUCAGCUGGGGCUCUUAAGAUAAACAUGGAUGCUGGCUUUGUGGGUGAGAUGGGCUGUGGUCUGGGAGCUAUUAUUAGGGGCGGGGAUGGUGCUGUUGUGGCGGAUGGUAUUCAGCUGGAAAGGAGAAAAAUGGAGGAGAGAGAAAGUGGGGGAAGGGGGAGAAAGAAGAAUUUGUCGGAAGGUCAGAGAAAAAUGGAGGAUUAAAGGUUGAAGAUGGUAGGAAGUUGGAGAGAGAAAAAAUCGAGGGAAAAAAUUAAAAUAUGGGGAAAAUUUUUAAAUUACCAUCCGUUAGGUAGGGCCCACAGAUGGAAAAUCAUUGGAAUUUUAAAAUAGAUUUGAUAUCGUGCGUUGUUGAUUGUUGAUGAGUUAUUUAUGCGUUCAAAGCCAUUUAGAGCCCUAAUUACUGAGCCAACUCAUGGGGCAGUGAGCCGAAUCAAUUGGUUGAGUCAGGUUUCCGGUGUCUUGGGUUGUCAAUGGGGUGAUGAGGGUAAAGGGAAGUUUGUUGAUAUUUUGGCGCAGCAUUUUGAUGUCGUCAGGUAAAUCCUCAUAUGCACCGGCUGAAGCUUUGUGACUUUGGAAGCACAAAAGUUCUGAUAAAAGGUGAGCCUAAUGUAUCUUAUAUCUACUCUAGAUACUAUAGAGCACCAGAGUUAAUAUUCGGAGCAACAGAAUAAACUACAACUAUUGACGUCUGGCCUGCUGGCUGUGUGCUUGCAGAACUGCUCUUGGACAGAAUUGCAAGAUAUUCUUCCUGGAAUCAUCAAUCAAUUGGGUAAAUGUUUAACAGUCCUCUCCUUUCCCGAAGAAAUGGAACUUGUUUCGAAAUUCAUGCUAAAGAAAUGGAACUUGUUUUGAAAUUAGGCCCGCUGUGUUCCCAUCCUAAGCUAGAGGGAAGGCCUAUAUAAUGAAGGAGCUAUAUAAAGAGUGUGCUCAGUCUCUACAAGUUGAGUUGUUGUUGAGUGGUAAAGAUUUUGAUACAAUUAAGAGUGCGAAUGCUCGAUAAUUGAGGCUUUUGAGGAUGUGGACUUGAGAUUAUCGAAAUGGUAAUCUCACGGUCCGGGAAAGCUGAAGUGUUGACUGAUCCUCAUAGACCCUAUGGAAGCAACAAGGCAUCACUUCAGGAAAUUAGAAGAAUUAAUGAAGCAGCAGGUGGAUGGGUAGUGUAUCGGGUCGAAGAGCUGAGAUUGGGCGAGGCUGGUAUACACAAAGGCAACUGCAGACAGGCCAAGAAAACAGAAGUAAAGUAUGGCAGAUAACACCUAGGAAUGCUGAUAACGAGACAUGUUCUGAUUUCACGACCCCACAAAAAAGACUUCUAAAUUCGAUUGAAGAGGUUAAGGAAGUUUGGCUGGAGGAUUUUAAGAAACUAGAGAAGACUCCUGCUGCCAAGAGGGCAGAAAGAAACUAGAGAAGACUCUUGCGUACAUUGAUGUCAAUGAGAUGACCCAUGGAGUAUGCCUAGAUGGGAAGGGAGUUUUGUGCACUUACAAGUUCUGAUGAUCCCAUAUCCUAAGUCGAUCAUCUUCUGAUGAUCCCAUAUCCUAAUACUACUACUACUAUCCUUCAGCUAUGCUUGUGCUGUCGCUCACAGCAACUAGUUUAGCUAUACUUGUAAUGGACCUUGAUUAUUGGCUUUAAUUAAUAAAAUC